GAAUUUCCAGCCUUUUCGGCUCAUACUUCAUAAUUCAAUGAAACUUCGCACAAAUCGAUGUGGAACCAAUAUAAUAAAGGCAUGGUUGUGCCAUGGCAUUUCAAAAAAACUUGGAAUGCACUGGGUUCAAACGCAUUUGAAUCCUUUUUGCACCUAAACUGUUGUUUUUGCCUAUUUUGUCAAUUGGAAAAAAAAUAUAAUAAUAGGAAAUUUUAUCCGGAAAAAUCUGAAAACCUGCAUGGGCUCUUUAUUUGUCAAUACCUGUCAAAAAAAAAAUCAAACCAAAAUGAAUUUGUGA
Molecule: long non-coding RNA, 298 nt
Filed under: Brachypodium distachyon (stiff brome)
Lineage: Eukaryota; Viridiplantae; Streptophyta; Magnoliopsida; Poales; Poaceae
Description: long non-coding RNA (BDIS_LNC004314)
Source: RNAcentral